The sequence is a small RNA, 125 nucleotides long. It matches the Rfam family "Enterococcus sRNA 68 (Lacto-3 RNA)". From Rfam's summary of the family: Name 'Ref' stands for RNA in E. faecalis. Also known as Lacto-3 RNA. Lactobacillales (Firmicutes). The record is from Rfam.
UGCGAUGAGUCGAGAGGGACCAGGCAACUUCGGUUGUUCCGCUGCGGCGGCUGGUGGUCAUUUUUCGAAGCGGGGUACAAUGUUGCCGGAUUGCAACGUGCCUGGUCGGAUGCAUUGUGGAGUGC